This 568-nucleotide ribosomal RNA is filed under the name uncultured bacterium. RNAcentral's name for it is "partial 16S ribosomal RNA". It matches the Rfam family "Bacterial small subunit ribosomal RNA", at positions 355 to 914 of the family's 1533-position model. The record is from RNAcentral.
UGGGGAAUAUUGGACAAUGGGCGCAAGCCUGAUCCAGCAAUGCCGCGUGUGUGAAGAAGGCCUUCGGGUUGUAAAGCACUUUUAUCAGGAGCGAAACGCUGUCGGCUAAUACCCGGCGGAACUGACGGUACCUGAGGAAUAAGCACCGGCUAACUUCGUGCCAGCAGCCGCGGUAAUACGAAGGGUGCAAGCGUUAAUCGGAAUUACUGGGCGUAAAGCGUGCGUAGGCGGUUUCUUAAGUCUGCUGUGAAAUCCCCGGGCUCAACCUGGGAAUGGCAGUGGAUACUGGGAGGCUAGAGUGUGUCAGAGGGUGGUGGAAUUCCCGGUGUAGCGGUGAAAUGCGUAGAGAUCGGGAGGAACAUCAGUGGCGAAGGCGGCCACCUGGGACAACACUGACGCUGAGGCACGAAAGCGUGGGGAGCAAACAGGAUUAGAUACCCUGGUAGUCCACGCCCUAAACGAUGCGAACUGGAUGUUGGUCUCAACUCGGAGAUCAGUGUCGAAGCUAACGCGUUAAGUUCGCCGCCUGGGGAGUACGGUCGCAAGACUGAAACUUAAAUGAAUUGAC